CGUUGGUGAACCAGCGGAGGGAUCAUUACAGAGUUAUCUAAACUCCAAACCCUGUGAACCGUACUUGUUUUGUUGCCUCGGCAGGCCGCGACCUACCCUGUAGUACCUACCCUGUAAGCGUUACCCUGUAGUGCUUACCGGAGUAGCCUACCUGGCAGAUCGCUCUAGGGCCUGCCGGUGGACCAAACCAAACUCUUGUUUACUGUGUCUCUGAAUACAUAACAAAAUACGUUAAAACUUUCAACAACGGAUCUCUUGGUUCUGGCAUCGAUGAAGAACGCAGCGAAAUGCGAUAAGUAAUGUGAAUUGCAGAAUUCAGUGAAUCAUCGAAUCUUUGAACGCACAUUGCGCCCAUUAGUAUUCUAGUGGGCAUGCCUGUUCGAGCGUCAUUUCAACCCUUAAGCCCUGUUGCUUAGUGUUGGGAGCCUGCUGUACCGCAGCUCCCCAAAGUUAGUGGCGGAGUCGGGUCGCACUCUGAGCGUAGUAAUUCUUCUCGCUUCUGAAGGUGGCCCUUCCCCAGCCGUAAAACCCCUAAUUUCUCAAGGUUGACCUCGGAUCAGGUAGGAAUACCCGCUGAACUUAAGCAUAUCA
RNAcentral lists this ribosomal RNA (591 nucleotides) under Vamsapriya indica. RNAcentral's name for it is "eukaryotic LSU rRNA". The stretch from base 236 to 389 matches the Rfam family "5.8S ribosomal RNA". Lineage: Eukaryota; Fungi; Ascomycota; Sordariomycetes; Xylariales; Vamsapriyaceae. The record is from RNAcentral.